GUUUGCUUCAGCAGUACAUAUGCUAAAAUGGGAACGAUACAGAGAAGAUUAGCAUUGGCCCCUGUGCAAGGAUGACAUGCAAAUUAGUGAAGUGUUCCAUAUUUAA
Small nuclear RNA from Pan troglodytes (chimpanzee), 106 nucleotides. The record is from Rfam. NCBI's taxonomy places the organism in Eukaryota, Metazoa, Chordata, Mammalia, Primates, Hominidae.